UACGUAGGGAGCAAGCGUUGUCCGGAUUUACUGGGUGUAAAGGGUGCGUAGGCGGCCUUGCAAGUCAGAAGUGAAAUCCAUGGGCUUAACCCGUGAACUGCUUUUGAAACUGUAGGGCUUGAGUGAAGUAGAGGCAGGCGGAAUUCCCGGUGUAGCGGUGAAAUGCGUAGAGAUCGGGAGGAACACCAGUGGCGAAGGCGGCCUGCUGGGCUUUAACUGACGCUGAAGCACGAAAGCGUGGGUAGCAAACA
Molecule: ribosomal RNA, 251 nt
Filed under: uncultured bacterium
Lineage: Bacteria
Description: partial 16S ribosomal RNA
Rfam family: Bacterial small subunit ribosomal RNA
Source: RNAcentral